UACGGGGGGGGCAAGCGUUGUUCGGAAUUACUGGGCGUAAAGGGCUCGUAGGUGGCCAACUAAGUCAGACGUGAAAUCCCUCAGCUUAACUGGGGAACUGCGUCUGAUACUGGAUGGCUUGAGUUUGGGAGAGGGACGCGGAAUUCCAGGUGUAGCGGUGAAAUGCGUAGAUAUCAGGAGGAACACCAGUGGCGAAGGCGCCACUCUGGGCCGUAACUGACGCUGAGGAGCGAAAGCGUGGGUAGCAAACAGG
Molecule: ribosomal RNA, 253 nt
Filed under: uncultured bacterium
Lineage: Bacteria
Description: partial 16S ribosomal RNA
Rfam family: Bacterial small subunit ribosomal RNA
Source: RNAcentral